AAAAGGGGCCCAGUGGUCAGCCUGGACAGUAUCCUGGACCCUCUGCGGAUUCUCUGGCUGCGUCACCCCAUCCCUCAGCAUGAGAGUCCUCGCUCUGCUGUUCCUGGCCGCUCUGGCCGGGACCCUGGUUCUGGCUGACGAUGACCCCUCCGAACGCAAAGAGCAUGUCUCCCUGGACACUUUGAUUUCUCAGCUGGAAGAGAAGACCAUGAC
Talpa occidentalis (Iberian mole) is the source of this 213-nucleotide long non-coding RNA. RefSeq lists it as uncharacterized. NCBI's taxonomy places the organism in Eukaryota, Metazoa, Chordata, Mammalia, Eulipotyphla, Talpidae. The transcript has 3 exons. The record is from RefSeq and is a predicted model, not a curated record.